RNAcentral lists this long non-coding RNA (1415 nucleotides) under Oreochromis niloticus (Nile tilapia). RNAcentral's name for it is "lncRNA (ENSONIG00000032606.1)". Lineage: Eukaryota; Metazoa; Chordata; Actinopteri; Cichliformes; Cichlidae. The record is from RNAcentral.
UGACCAGGGCCAGCAGACAGCUGACACCGGUUCACAGCAACAGGUGGUUCCUGCUGACAUGAAGUUAGGACCUGCAGAGGGACAACAAACAGGGUUCACACUCCUGCAUGCUCAGCUGAAUUGAUCUGGAUUUUUUCCCUCACCAUUUAGCUGAAAUUUAAAUGUAAGGAAGGAUAUCGCUUUGCUGGGUGAUAAUCAGGCUGGAUGUUAUUCAACCAUCCGGCAGCUGAAGGACUUGGUGCUCACAGUCUAUUUCCUGCGACCACAGCCUGCACCGUCAACUUCUCCACAUGCAUCAGAACAUCCCCCAGCAUGCCUUCACUCCCGUCCUGCACCAGUCCUCGAGCAUCCUGCCAAAUCCAGCAAUGAUGGGACCUCAGGACAGAAAUUUUAACACAAACCUGCCCGGACAAACAAUGAGGACCUUCUUUGCACCCAUCACAGCCUCGCACAGAGCAACAAAAAGAUCCUUUAACUCAACAAGACGAGGGAGAUGGGGCGCACUGCAUGUGUGUAUUGCGUGGAAAAUUUACUACCACAAACAACUCAAGAAACUGCAACAAAUGCACAGCAGUCAACAGGAGCUGACACCUGAGUGUCCUGCUAGCAGUCCCUCUGCCUCUGUGCAACAAAAGGAAAUACACCAGCCGUGUGCACACCCAUGUUCAGGUGGAAGCAAGAGUGUAACUGCAAGCUGUGACAGUUCUGUCUCCGACCUUCAAACGCCUCCACCAGUGUCUACCCACAGCCGUGCAAACUGGGAGAAACUUGACUGUGAGAAGCAGGACCAGCACUCAACACCUGAUGAGAAAGAGAAGCACCAGAUCCGCCAAUCUAGCCCAACAAAGGAUUUAACUCAUAAAGAGAAGUUCAGGGAAUUAAUAGUCACUUCUGACCUUGAUGGCAGACACAGCGGCUCGCUUGACAGGAAGAGGCAGUUUGAGUGUGAAGCCAUCAACAAAGCAAAGAGAAUGAGGCACGAAAUGUUCAACAGUCCGUUUGGUUCUUCUCAGACUUUGCAGUAUUAUCCAUCUCCAUUCAUCACAACUUAUACACAUCCACCAGCACACAACAUGCAAGUGCAACACACUAACAUGAGUGAUUGCUCUUUCCUGUAUCCUAACAGCAUUAGAUUUAAUGCGUCUUAUCCAGGCACCAAGUCGCAUCCCUGCCAAACUUCUUCAUGGGAGACAAUGAGGGACACACACAGUUUCCAUUUAAGGAAACACACCCUUAAAGACUACUCGCUGAAUACCUGCAAGGCAAUCAGGAAACCUCUUGUAACAAGAGGUAUCACGUCACCUCUUUAUUUCCUUCGAGGGAGGGAGACACUUCUGUCUAGAGAAGUGUCAACACCGCUGCAGAUGCCAGCGGCCUCAUACUGGCUUUCUAGCAAUGCAGUAUUGGGACCCUGA